Molecule: non-coding RNA, 1384 nt
Organism: Microcebus murinus (gray mouse lemur)
Lineage: Eukaryota; Metazoa; Chordata; Mammalia; Primates; Cheirogaleidae
Source: RefSeq, a predicted model, not a curated record
GCAUCUCCAUCAGAGCUCUUGGGUGAUGAGGUACGUUGUCAAUGAGCAGUAAUACAUAAAAAGGAAUCUUUGAACCAGAUGCAGUGGCUCACACCUAUAAUCCCAGUAACUCAGGAGGUUGAGGUGGGAAUCUGAGACCAGCCUGGGCAACAUAGUGAGAUCCCAUUUCUAAAAAAUUAUCCAGGGAGCAGUGUGAAGAAGAGGAGGUGAGAACGACCCCCAGACCGACCAAAGCCCACGCGCCACUGCAUCCCUGCGCCCAGUGCCCACGCCCAUGCCGCCGUCGCCACCAUGCCCAGGAGAAAGGCUGAAGGGGAUCAUGCUAAAGGAGAUAAAGCCAAGGCAAAGGACGAACCGCAGAGAAGAUCCGCAAGGUUGUCUGCUAAACCUGCUCCUCCAAAGCCAGAGCCCAACCUAAAAAGGCCCCUGCAAAGAAGGGAGAGAAGGGACCCAAAGGGAAAAAGGGAAAAGCUGACGCUGGCAAGGAGGGGGAUAACCCUGCAGAAAACGGAGAUGCCAAAACAGACCAGGCACAGAAAGCCGAAGGUGCUGGAGAUGCCAAGGGAAGUGUGUGCAUUUUUGAUAACUGUGUACUUCUGGUGACUGCACAGUUUGAAAUACUGUUUUUUAUCAAGUUUUAUAAAAAUGCAGAAUUUUGUUUUACUUUUUUUUUUUAAGCUAUGUUGUUAGCAUACAGAACACUUCAUUGUUGUUUUUGGGGGGAAGGGGCAUAUGUCACUAAUAGAAUGUCUCCAAAGCUAGAUCGAUAUGGGGAAAACACCUUCCCCUUCUAGUUUUGAGAGACUUCCUCUUGGCUCUCAGGAGGAGGGAUUCCCUGACAUUGACAUGUAGCUACCUUGGCACAAAUGCCUUGUUGUAUGGAAAAACUAAUUUGUUUUUAUGUCCUAUUCUCCCUCUCUGCCUUCAGCAUAGUCUUCACUUCCUUAAACCCAGACACCUCUUGGGGGCCUGCCCUCCAGUAAUUGCUUACCAGUAUGUCGGGUGAUCUGGGCUUUCCAGUGGCACCACUGAGAUGGCAUCCCUCAAAAGAGCCCCAGUUCCAUUUGUAGACUGUGGAUCUUCAGACAAAUUCUGCCAUUUUCAGUUCAUUUCCUGAAAGUCACAGUUGGCUUGUGAAAAGUUGCUAAACAACAUGCCAAAUGUGAAAUGUCAACCCUCACUCUAAACUUUCUCUGUUCAGAGCAUCAAAUGAAGACUUCAUUGGGUUUUAUAGUGGCUUUCUGAUUUUGGUAGACCAUUGAAGAAGGGAGUUUGAAAGUUGUUGUAUACUGUUAACGAUUGUCUGCCCAUGUCCUGCCUGAAAUACAUGAUUGUUUAUGAAAAGUGUCUUUAAUAAAGCUGGAUACAGUUUGGCUUGGAAAAA